GAAACCAACAGGGAUUGCCCCAGUAACGGCGAGUGAAGCGGCAACAGCUCAAAUUUGAAAUCUGGCCUCCGGCCCGAGUUGUGAUUUGUAGAGGAUGCUUUUGGUGCGGUGCCUUCUGAGUUCCCUGGAAUGGGACGCCAUAGAGGGUGAGAGCCCCGUACGGUUGGACGCCAAGGCUUCUGUAAAGCUCCUUCGACGAGGUCGAGUAGUUUGGGAAUGCUGCUCAAAAAUGGGAGGUAAAAUUCUCUCAAAGCUAAAUACCGGCCAGAGACCGAUAGCGCACAAGUAGAGUGAUCGGAAAGAUGAAAAGCACUUUGAAAAGAGGGUUAAACAGCACGUGAAAUUGUUGAAAGGGAAGCGCUUGUGACCAGACUUGCGCCCUCCGAAUCAUCCGGCGUUUUCUCCGGUGCACUUCGUUGGGUUCAGGCCAGCAUCGGUUUUCUUAGGGGGACAAAAGCUCCGGGAACGUGGCUCUUCGGAGCGUUAUAGCCCGCCGCAGAAUACCCUUCAGGGGACCGAGGACCGCGCUUCGGCAAGGAUGGAUGUUUGGGUGUCAAACCCGCACGCGUAAUGAAAGUGAAUGCUGGUGAGAGCUUCGGCGCAUCAUCGACCGAUCCUGAUGUUCUCGGAUGGAUUUGAGUAAGAGCCUUACCGCUUGGACCCGAAAGUUGAUGAACUAUGCCUGUAUAGGGUGAAGCCAGAGGAAACUCUGGUGGAGGCUCGCAGCGGUUCUGACGUGCAAAUCGAUCGUCAAAUAUGGGCAUGGGGGCGAAAGUAAGUCAAACCUACGCUGGAAAAUUAAUAAAUAUUCCUUGGUAUGCUAUU
RNAcentral lists this ribosomal RNA (825 nucleotides) under Vertexicola confusa (nom. inval.). Its description in RNAcentral is "LSU rRNA". It matches the Rfam family "Eukaryotic large subunit ribosomal RNA", at positions 61 to 986 of the family's 3401-position model. The record is from RNAcentral. Lineage: Eukaryota; Fungi; Ascomycota; Sordariomycetes.